This 479-nucleotide ribosomal RNA is filed under the name uncultured Pseudonocardia sp. RNAcentral's name for it is "bacterial SSU rRNA". It matches the Rfam family "Bacterial small subunit ribosomal RNA", at positions 28 to 522 of the family's 1533-position model. Lineage: Bacteria; Bacillati; Actinomycetota; Actinomycetes; Pseudonocardiales; Pseudonocardiaceae. The record is from RNAcentral.
GACGAACGCUGGCGGCGUGCUUAACACAUGCAAGUCGAGCGGUAAGGCCCUUUCGGGGGUACACGAGCGGCGAACGGGUGAGUAACACGUGGGUGACCUGCCCUCCACUCUGGGAUAAGCCCGGGAAACUGGGUCUAAUACCGGAUAGGACCACUGAUCGCAUGGUUGGUGGUGGACAGUUUUUUCGGUGGGGGAUGGGCCCGCGGCCUAUCAGCUUGUUGGUGGGGUGAUGGCCUACCAAGGCGGUGACGGGUAGCCGGCCUGAGAGGGCGACCGGCCACACUGGGACUGAGACACGGCCCAGACUCCUACGGGAGGCAGCAGUGGGGAAUAUUGCGCAAUGGGCGGAAGCCUGACGCAGCGACGCCGCGUGGGGGAUGACGGCCUUCGGGUUGUAAACCUCUUUCGCCAGGGACGAAGAGCAAUUGACGGUACCUGGAGAAGAAGCACCGACCAACUACGUGCCAGCAGCCGCCGCC